Molecule: ribosomal RNA, 512 nt
Filed under: uncultured Sebacina
Lineage: Eukaryota; Fungi; Basidiomycota; Agaricomycetes; Sebacinales; Sebacinaceae
Description: eukaryotic LSU rRNA
Rfam family: 5.8S ribosomal RNA (bases 123-276)
Source: RNAcentral
CGUUGGUGGCUUUCAUCCAAUACCCCUGUGAACCUUUGGNNUCUUGCUCGCUUCGGCUGGCAGAGGAUUUUUACACACUCGAAUGUAAUGAAAACUAUUGUCGUGCGCAAGCACUAAUGUACAACUUUCAACAACGGAUCUCUUGGCUCUCGCAUCGAUGAAGAACGCAGCGAAAUGCGAUAAGUAAUGUGAAUUGCAGAAUUCAGUGAAUCAUCGAAUCUUUGAACGCACCUUGCACCCUUUGGUAUUCCGAAGGGUAUGCUCGUUUGAGUGUCAUUGUACUCUCACACUCCCUGAUCUUUUUGGAUUCAGGGAGCGGUGGAUUUGGGUGCUUGCUGCUUUCCUUGUGGCUCACCUUAAAUGCGUCAGUGCAUCUCUUAGUUGGACAUAGUACGGCGUGAUAAGUAUCUUCGCCGGCACCUCGCAAGAGGGUGGCCGAUUGGGAGCUCUGUGCUUUCAAACCGUCUUCGGACAAUGUCUGACAACUUGACCUCAAAUCGAGUAGGACUACC